Drosophila miranda is the source of this 313-nucleotide long non-coding RNA. RefSeq lists it as uncharacterized. The record is from RefSeq and is a predicted model, not a curated record. NCBI's taxonomy places the organism in Eukaryota, Metazoa, Arthropoda, Insecta, Diptera, Drosophilidae. The transcript is spliced from 3 exons.
UGGGUCCUAAUGUUAGGACCCGCCAUAGAACAGCUUUUUGGUCGCUCAUGCAACAUCUUGGUAUUGUAUAGUCUUUGUUAGUACGUUUGUGGGCGUAGCCACCAGCCAACAGGAAAAUACCUUUUCCGAUCAUUAUAACAACAGAGGUUGUUUUGUUCGAGAAUAAAAUGCAUAAAAUAAAAAUUAUAGGUCACGUUUGUGGGUUCCAUUCGGUGCAGAGGACUUGGAAGCUAAAAGGUUACUCCGAACACUCAACCCCUUCGCACGCACGCACUCACUUUCCUCUGGGUAGUCGGCAUUUCUUUGCAUUUUU